RNAcentral lists this unclassified non-coding RNA (401 nucleotides) under Hevea brasiliensis (rubber tree). The record is from RNAcentral. Lineage: Eukaryota; Viridiplantae; Streptophyta; Magnoliopsida; Malpighiales; Euphorbiaceae.
GGGAGACAGUGAAAGGAGACAAAGAAAGGUUUUUGAGCUUGAAGAAAAUGAGAGAAAGCUUAAUGUGCCUCUUGAACAAGCAGAAAAUGACAGAAGGCUGAAGAAGGCUGUCCAUAAGCAGGAAGAANNNNNNNNNNAUGAAAGAGAAGAAAAUGAGAGGAGAUUAAGGGAGGCGCUUAGGCGGGAAGAAAAUGAGAGGAGACUGAAAGAGGCUCUUGAGAAGAAAGAGAAUGAGAGGAUACUGAAGGAGACUGGUGAGAAGGAAGAGAGACUGAGAAGACAAAGAGAGGCUGUUGAACGGCAAGAGAAUGAGAAUAGACUAAGAGAGGUUCGUGAAAGAAAAGAAAAUGAGAAGAGACAGAGAGAGGCUCCUGGAAGAGAAGAAAAAGAGAAGAGACAGA